GUCCGCACGAGCGCAACCCUUAUCCUUAGAUUGCCAGCACGCUAAUGGUGGGAACUCUAANGAGACUGCCGGUGACAAACCGGAGGAAGGUGGGGACGACNUCAAGUCAUCAUGGCCCUUACGAGAUGGGCUACGCACGUGCUACAAUGGCAAGUACAAAGGGUUGCAAACUCGCGAGAGUAAGCGGAUCCCAUAAAGCUUGUCGUAGUCCGGAUUGGAGUCUGCAACUCGACUCCAUGAAGUCGGAAUCGCUAGUAAUCGUGGAUCAGAAUGCCACGGUGAAUACGUUCCCGGGCCUUGUACACACCGCCCGUCACACCAUGGGAGUGGGCUGCAAAANAANUGGAUAGCUUAACCUUCGGGAGGGCGUUCACCACUUUGUGGUUCAUGACUGGGGUGAANUCNUAACAAGGUACCCGUAGGGGGGGGGGNGGCUGAAUCNCCUCCUU
Molecule: ribosomal RNA, 449 nt
Filed under: uncultured Gammaproteobacteria bacterium
Lineage: Bacteria; Pseudomonadati; Pseudomonadota; Gammaproteobacteria
Description: bacterial SSU rRNA
Rfam family: Bacterial small subunit ribosomal RNA
Source: RNAcentral